This 1883-nucleotide ribosomal RNA is filed under the name human gut metagenome. Its description in RNAcentral is "bacterial LSU rRNA". It matches the Rfam family "Bacterial large subunit ribosomal RNA", at positions 3 to 1980 of the family's 2925-position model. The record is from RNAcentral.
UCAAGCUGAAAAGAGCGCAAGGGGAAUGCCUUGGCAUCAGGAGCCGACGAAGGACGUGACAAGCUGCGAUAAGCCACGGGGAGGAGCAAAUAUCCGAUAUAUCCGUGGAUUUCCGAAUGGGGGAACCCGCUCAAGCAAUACUUGAGCAUCGUGCGUUGAAUCAAAUAGGCGUACGAAGGGAACGGCCUGAACUGAAACAUCUAAGUAGGGCCAGGAAAAGACAUCAACCGAGAUUCCGCUAGUAGUGGCGAGCGAACGCGGAGGAGGCCAAACCAGAGGAUUUUAUUCUCUGGGGUUGCGGACAGACAUCAUGACCAGAGGUAAUUAAGAGAACGGCGUGGGAAAGCCGGCCACAGAAGGUGAGAGCCCUGUAUCUGAAAAUGAAGACUGGCAGUCUGGAUCCAGAGUACCGCGGGACACGUGAAACCCCGUGGGAAACCGGGUGGACCACCAUCCAAGCCUAAAUACUACCUGAUGACCGAUAGAGGAGCAGUACCGUGAGGGAAAGGUGAAAAGGACCCCGGGAGGGGAGUGAAAGAGAACCUGAAACCUUGUGCUUACAAGCAGUCAAAGCACGUUAAGGUGUGAUGACGUACUUUUUGUAGAACGGUCCGGCGAGUUAUAGUAACGAGCAAGCUUAAGGUAUUGAGUACCGGAGGCGAAGCGAGAGCGAGUCUGAAUAGGGCGUAAAGUUCGUUGCCAUAGACCCGAAACCGGGUGACCUAUCCAUGAGCAGGCUGAAGUGAGAGUAAAAUCUCAUGGAGGGCCGAACCGACCCCCGUUGCAAUGGUGGCGGAUGACUUGUGGAUAGCGGAGAAAUUCCAAUCGAACUCGGAGAUAGCUGGUUCUCCCCGAAAUAGCUUUAGGGCUAGCCUCAUGUUAGAUAUCCGGAGGUAAAGCACUGAAUGGCCUAGCGUCCGAGAGGAUAGCGAAGCCUAUCAAACUAAGAAUGCCGGAAUAUUGAUGCAUGGGAGUCAGACAGUGUGAGAUAAAUCUCAUUGUCAAAAGGGAAACAGCCCAGAUCUACAGCUAAGGUCCCAAAUUGUAUCUAAGUGGAAAACGAUGUGGAAAUACGCAGACAACCAGGAUGUUGGCUCAGAAGCAGCCACUCAUUUAAAGAGUGCGUAAUAGCUCACUGGUCGAGCGUCUCUGCGCGGAAAAUUUAACGGGGCUAAGAUACAAACCGAAGCUUAGGCUGCACUUUUAGUGCGGGGUAGGGGAGCGUUGUGUAAGCGGAGAAACAGUAGCGAAAGCGGCUGUGGAGUUUACAGAAGUGAGAAUGCCGGAAUGAGUAGCGCGAAUGUGGUGAGAAUCCACAUGGCCGGAAACCUCAGGUUUUUGGAGGAAGGUUCGUCCGCUCCAAGUUAGGCGGGAGCUAAGGUCAGGCCGAAAGGCGUAGCCGAUGCACAGACGGUAGAGAUUCCGUCCCCACCGAAAGAUUUAAGCGCAGGGACACUUUUAGAAGGUCGGAGCCAGGUGUUGGUUCUGGUAGAGAUCGAGGGAAGAUUAGUACCGAAGUCCGGCUGGAUAAGAGGCGAGAAAAGCUGCGUGUAUAUCUAAGGUGCCCGUACCGCAAACCGACACAGGUAGGUAGGAAGAAGAUUCUAAGGCCAACGGGAGAAGGGUUGUUAAGGAACUCGGCAAAUUGACCCCGUAACUUCGGGAGAAGGGGUGCUGCAGCAAUGCAGCCGCAGAGAAUCGGCCCAAGCAACUGUUUACCAAAAACACAGGUUUGUGCUAAAUCGAAAGAUGACGUAUACGAGCUGACGCCUGCCCGGUGCUGGAAGGUUAAGAGGAGAUGUGCAAGCAUUGAAUCGAAGCCCCAGUGAACGGCGGCCGUAACUAUAACGGUCCUAAGGUAGCGAAAUUCCUUGUCAGGUAAG